AGAAUACCUUCAGUUACAUAAUCAAAUCAAAGUGGACCACAAUCAUUUCCAAUCACACUCAGAAAAUAUGAACUCAACAUGCAAAUAAAAGUAUGACACUUUCGAAUCGAGUUCAACAUGAGUUCAAGUGUUCGGUUCAAUGAAAAGUUUCAGUUCGAUUUAGUCCGAAAAUAAUAAUAAAUCAAUCAGUUCAGAUCAAACUAGUUCCUGAUACUCCUACCACUCUGGCGGCGAGUCACCAUAAGCCGAAGAUUUCCUCACUAGCGCGAAGGAGUAGAUGAGUUGAAGGUGAAGGUCUGGGUCUGGCUCGCCAUCUUGAAUCCCGUCUGUGUGUGCACAGUCCUUGCUCCGACCCAGCUUCAAACCGAGCAAAAAACCUGACCUGUGUAACAGGUCAUAAACACAAAUAAUCUCUUUUUAAAUCCUCAAAUCACACAAAUAAAUGUUUCACAGUUUCUGAGUUGUAACGUUACUGCUACGGUGUUUUUUCGUCUCAAAAUGGCAGCGGAGCGGUCUCUUUCAACUCACGGCUCCGUCUCCCACACAAACUACAGCGCAUACCUUUCAUUUAUACAGCUUACAGACACUUUUGUAACAUUCACAGUCUUCAUAAACCCAAAAAAUUUACUGAUAAACAGGUUAUGACGGAGCAUUUCCUUGUGAAUAGCUACGUUUUUAGCAUUAGCUUUCCGCUAAAAAGGUACAACGCAGCAAAAUUGCAAGAAAAUAAAAACAAAACUCACCAAAACCAGUGUGACUUAGUUCUCAUAAAAUCCCCGUCAGUUCCCGACCAGGUAAGUUAUAUUUUUCAACUGCUAAAUCAACUUUUUUCACUCUUUUUCUGCUUAUUAAUCGCAGCUCGUUUUUCUCCAUUUUCUCCUCUGCUCUCUCCCUCAGGUCUCUGCUGCAGCAUCACGCAGGCCCUGCGUGUAGUGUCACUAGUCCCUUAAAGGGGCACGCAUGAAAUUUCUGUCAGCAUACUUUUAAUCUUAACCAGAAACAUGUCACGCUAUAAUGUGAUCCGU
Molecule: unclassified non-coding RNA, 1025 nt
Filed under: Hevea brasiliensis (rubber tree)
Lineage: Eukaryota; Viridiplantae; Streptophyta; Magnoliopsida; Malpighiales; Euphorbiaceae
Source: RNAcentral